Molecule: long non-coding RNA, 1705 nt
Filed under: Physcomitrium patens
Lineage: Eukaryota; Viridiplantae; Streptophyta; Bryopsida; Funariales; Funariaceae
Description: long non-coding RNA (PPAT_LNC012294)
Source: RNAcentral
CAUGCUAUAGCUUUUCCAAUAAUCAACCAGAAUAUUAGGUUGAGAUCAAAGAGAUGUUUCCACAAAGAGAAAAAAAUCACCGGAGGUCACAUGGAGUUCACCAAAGACCACAUUUCCAAACUCUAGAAUAAUAAAAACCCGAGUUGAGAGCUCCAGCAAUGCCACGCUCGCCCUGCUCUUGCUUCUGCUCACAGUGCUGCAGCGACAGUCGCUGCGGGGGAUGCACAGCCAGCAGCUGGCGAUGGGGGGGAUCGCGCCCCAGGCCUCCGCUCUUGCUCCGCCUGCCCUGCUGUGCGUCGGAGCCGCCUCCCAAUUCCCUGGCCUUCGAUGUUACACUGCAUCUUCUAGUUCACAAUGGCGACAACCUCCCGGUCUAUCUGUGCGCUCACGCUUCACUCAUAUUCUCACUCGAUCCUGGUUGAAGCUUGCUUGCGCCGCUUGUCGCGUCGCCUUCGAUUGCACCUCCUAUUGCACUUCGGGCUUGAGCGUGGCCUUGUUGGGUUGGGUCGUAUAAUUCCUAGAUCAAGCUGUAGUAUGCAUUUCGUCGCUGCCGCCGCGGUUGGAAGAAUUCCUGAGUUUGGUGUAGAUUGCUUCUCAUGGGUGGGGGUCUGCCUCUUCAUGUUCGGGAUUACACACCGGAAAGGGCAUUCCUAGCAUGCUCAUCAUGGUCUAGUUUUGGAGUGUUGAUUGGAGUGGUCUCCGGAUUUUGUUGGGAUGGAAUUGGGCUACUCGAAGGUCGCCGAAAUUGGGAAAGUCAGCUUCGGAAUAUGUUGGAGGGGAUGAUCCCCUCCAUGGCUGCUGCAGCAAGGCGGGAACCAUCUACAAUUCAUAAGAACUAUGUCUGUGCUUUUAUGUUGUUGCUGUGACGCGGCCCUGGUGACUAAGUGAGACUCUGAAGUUGGUUGUGAGCGAAGUUGUGUGCGAGUAGCACCGUGAGUUCAUACAGGAUGGUAGUUUGAGAUUGCAUGAGAAGAUCGCCUGAAUAGCGAUUGAAGAGUCGUCAAACAGAGUGGAAAGCAGAUUUGCGCGCUCCAACGAGAGGGGAAGGAGGGGUGGAACUCAGCACUAGAGGCUCAAAAGGGAUCGGUCUGCAACAUCCCAACAUAGUGCAGACAAUCAUGGGGAUAAAACAAUGGAGAAUUAUUGACAAAAGCGAGAGGAGAUUUUGUCCACGGUUUAUAAUUCUGAGGUGAUGGAUAGGGAGAAUUAGCUGUGCCCUACCACUGGGGCAUAAUCAUUGCGAGUUUCUUCGGUGACACUAUCCCGAAUCGCUUUAAUGCACUAGUUGUACCUGAUCUCAAGUGUAGAUGACAAUCAGUGAGCAAGGCAUCAUGUGCGGCAGCUCUGUCAAGAUGCAGGAUCGCCGUUCCUUCUCUACCCCACACCCCCCGCUUUCAUGAAAUGAUCGCCUGUCGAAGAACCUGAACCCUCAGUUCUCUGUCCGUGCCUUGUGCGCGUGCGUGUGGUACACAAACUGUAGCUUUCCUAAGAGAUCUUCUCCACCCACCAUUGGAUGGGACAUAAUCCAAUUAGCACUAGGGCAGUACUUAGCUGCAGUUAGUUUUGCACCUGGUUCCUGCAGCCCAUCUCUCGGCUCUCAUUGCCAUGUAACUUAGGAAUGCAUAAAGAUAAGAUAUCAUUUGCAUGGUAUAUGUGAUUCCAGUCUGAAUUAUUGUCGCGAUGAAUUCAAACUGUAAAGUUGCAG